This is a non-coding RNA of Prevotella intermedia 17, 73 nucleotides long. The record is from Rfam. Lineage: Bacteria; Pseudomonadati; Bacteroidota; Bacteroidia; Bacteroidales; Prevotellaceae.
CGGGAUGUAGCGCAGUUGGUAGCGCACUACGUUCGGGACGUAGGGGUCGCUGGUUCGAGUCCAGUCAUCCCGA